GACGAACGCUGGCGGCGUGCUUAACACAUGCAAGUCGAACGGAAAGGCCCUGCUUUUGUGGGGUGCUCGAGUGGCGAACGGGUGAGUAACACGUGAGUAACCUGCCCUUGACUUUGGGAUAACUUCAGGAAACUGGGGCUAAUACCGGAUAGGAGCUCCUGCCGCAUGGUGGGGGUUGGAAAGUUUCGGCGGUUGGGGAUGGACUCGCGGCUUAUCAGCUUGUUGGUGGGGUAGUGGCUUACCAAGGCUUUGACGGGUAGCCGGCCUGAGAGGGUGACCGGCCACAUUGGGACUGAGAUACGGCCCAGACUCCUACGGGAGGCAGCAGUGGGGAAUAUUGCACAAUGGGCGGAAGCCUGAUGCAGCAACGCCGCGUGCGGGAUGACGGCCUUCGGGUUGUAAACCGCUUUCGCCUGUGACGAAGCGUGAGUGACGGUAAUGGGUAAAGAAGCACCGGCUAACUACGUGCCAGCAGCCGCGGUGAUACGUAGGGUGUGAGCGUUGUCCGGAUUUAUUGGGCGUAAAGGGCUCGUAGGUGGUUGAUCGCGUCGGAAGUGUAAUCUUGGGGCUUAACCCUGAGCGUGCUUUCGAUACGGGUUGACUUGAGGAAGGUAGGGGAGAAUGGAAUUCCUGGUGGAGCGGUGGAAUGCGCAGAUAUCAGGAGGAACACCAGUGGCGAAGGCGGUUCUCUGGGCCUUUCCUGACGCUGAGGAGCGAAAGCGUGGGGAGCGAACAGGCUUAGAUACCCUCGUAGUCCACGCUGUAAACGGUGGGUACUAGGUGUGGGGUCCAUUCCACGGGUUCCGUGCCGUAGCUAACGCUUUAAGUACCCCGCCUGGGGAGUACGGCCGCAAGGCUAAAACUCAAAGGAAUUGACGGGGCCCCGCACAAGCGGCGGAGCAUGCGGAUUAAUUCGAUGCAACGCGUAGAACCUUACCUGGGUUUGACAUGGAUCGGGAGUGCUCAGAGAUGGGUGUGCCUCUUUUGGGGUCGGUUCACAGGUGGUGCAUGCCUGUCGUCAGCUCGUGUCGUGAGAUGUUGGGUUAAGUCCCGCAACGAGCGCAACCCUUGUUCACUGUUGCCAGCACGUUAUGGUGGGGACUCAGUGGAGACCGCCGGGGUCAACUCGGAGGAAGGUGGGGAUGACGUCAAGUCCUCAUGCCCCUUAUGUCCAGGGCUUCACGCAUGCUACAAUGGCUGGUACAGAGAGUGGCGAGCCUGUGAGGGUGAGCGAAUCUCGGAAAGCCGGUCUCAGUUCGGAUUGGAGUCUGCAACUCGACCUCAUGAAGUCGGAGUCGCUAGUAAUCGCAGAUCAGCAACGCUGCGGUGAAUACGUUCCCGGGGCC
This 1346-nucleotide ribosomal RNA is filed under the name uncultured bacterium. Its description in RNAcentral is "bacterial SSU rRNA". It matches the Rfam family "Bacterial small subunit ribosomal RNA", at positions 28 to 1381 of the family's 1533-position model. The record is from RNAcentral.